AAGGAAUAUUGCGCAAUGGGCGAAAGCCUGACGCAGCGACGCCGCGUGGGGGAUGAAGGCCCUUGGGUUGUAAACCCCUUUUGUUCGGGAAGAAGUGCGAUCAGGUGAACAAUCUGGUCGUUUGACGGUACCGGACGAAUAAGCUCCGGCUAACUCCGUGCCAGCAGCCGCGGUAACACGGGGGGAGCAAGCGUUGUUCGGAAUCACUGGGCGUAAAGCGCACGUAGGCGGACUUUCAAGUCAGGGGUGAAAUCCCGGGGCUCAACCUCGGAACUGCCUUUGAUACUGUUGGUCUUGAGUCCGGAAGAGGUGGGUGGAAUUCCUAGUGUAGAGGUGAAAUUCGUAGAUAUUAGGAAGAACACCGGUGGCGAAGGCGGCCCACUGGUCCGGUACUGACGCUGAGGUGCGAAAGCGUGGGGAGCAAA
RNAcentral lists this ribosomal RNA (425 nucleotides) under uncultured bacterium. RNAcentral describes it as "bacterial SSU rRNA". It matches the Rfam family "Bacterial small subunit ribosomal RNA", at positions 356 to 772 of the family's 1533-position model. The record is from RNAcentral.